This 253-nucleotide ribosomal RNA is filed under the name uncultured bacterium. RNAcentral's name for it is "partial 16S ribosomal RNA". It matches the Rfam family "Bacterial small subunit ribosomal RNA", at positions 524 to 776 of the family's 1533-position model. The record is from RNAcentral.
UACGUAGGGGGCUAGCGUUGUCCGGAAUCAUUGGGCGUAAAGAGCGUGUAGGCGGCCCGGUAAGUCCGCUGUGAAAGUCGGGGGCUCAACCCUCGAAUGCCGGUGGAUACUGUCGGGCUAGAGUGCGGAAGAGGCGAGUGGAAUUCCUGGUGUAGCGGUGAAAUGCGCAGAUAUCUGAAAGAACACCAGUGGCGAAGGCGGUCAACUGGUCCAUUACUGACACUAAAGCACGAAAGCGUGGGUAGCGAACAGG